GAUGAACGCUGGCGGCGUGCCUAAUACAUGCAAGUCGAGCGAACAGACGAGGAGCUUGCUCCUCUGACGUUAGCGGCGGACGGGUGAGUAACACGUGGAUAACCUACCUAUAAGACUGGGAUAACUUCGGGAAACCGGAGCUAAUACCGGAUAAUAUAUUGAACCGCAUGGUUCAAUAGUGAAAGACGGUUUUGCUGUCACUUAUAGAUGGAUCCGCGCCGCAUUAGCUAGUUGGUAAGGUAACGGCUUACCAAGGCAACGAUGCGUAGCCGACCUGAGAGGGUGAUCGGCCACACUGGAACUGAGACACGGUCCAGACUCCUACGGGAGGCAGCAGUAGGGAAUCUUCCGCAAUGGGCGAAAGCCUGACGGAGCAACGCCGCGCGAAUGAUGAAGGUCUUCGGAUCGUAAAACUCUGUUAUUAGGGAAGAACAAAUGUGUAAGUAACUAUGCACGUCUUGACGGUACCUAAUCAGAAAGCCACGGCUAACUACGUG
Molecule: ribosomal RNA, 497 nt
Filed under: uncultured bacterium
Lineage: Bacteria
Description: partial 16S ribosomal RNA
Rfam family: Bacterial small subunit ribosomal RNA
Source: RNAcentral